RNAcentral lists this transfer RNA (71 nucleotides) under Marmota monax (woodchuck). It matches the Rfam family "tRNA". From Rfam's summary of the family: Transfer RNA (tRNA) molecules are approximately 80 nucleotides in length. Their secondary structure includes four short double-helical elements and three loops (D, anti-codon, and T loops). Further hydrogen bonds mediate the characteristic L-shaped molecular structure. tRNAs have two regions of fundamental functional importance: the anti-codon, which is responsible for specific mRNA codon recognition, and the 3' end, to which the tRNAs corresponding amino acid is attached (by aminoacyl-tRNA synthetases). tRNAs cope with the degeneracy of the genetic code in two manners: having more than one tRNA (with a specific anti-codon) for a particular amino acid; and 'wobble' base-pairing, i.e. permitting non-standard base-pairing at the 3rd anti-codon position. Lineage: Eukaryota; Metazoa; Chordata; Mammalia; Rodentia; Sciuridae. The record is from Rfam by way of RNAcentral.
UGGGGUAUAGCUUAAGGGCAAAGUGCUUGCCUAACAUACUCAAGGCCUGGGUUCAAACCCCAGUACCUCAA